CAGAAUAUAUCUAAUCCAGACAAAAACUCAUCCGCUUCUUGCAUUUGUAUUGAUUCAGAGAAAGAUACGACAAGAACAUUAAAAAAACAGACUGACACAGCAGAGGCCCAAUUCCCCAAACUGUCUUUGCUGAUUUAUAACUUUAUCUUACUCGGAAGGCUUUAUAGACACCAAGAUAUUCUGUGCUUUAGGAAAACAAAGCCAAGAUUUGCAUCUGUGCUCCCUGAAGGCUUACAAAAACAUCCUUCCAGCCAGAAGACAAUAAUCCCCAAAUCCAUAAAGACAGUCUUUUCAGGGAAAAUAUGAGUCUGCCACAGAGUGAUGAGGACAAUUCCAGGGUUUAAACUUGAGAUGUUUUGAUUGCAACAAUAGCAGAGACCCACUGAAUCAGACUGUGAGAGAGAACAUGUAUUGUUAUACCGUAUGAUUGAGCAGUCGGCAAUUUUAUGACCAAGUGCUGAAAAAUACACAAAUUUCCCUCCAAAAUUAUUAGUGAUUUUCUGUAACUCAAGCAGACUGUCCACAUUCAUUUUCAGCCUCACAAACAGUAAGCAAGGAAAGGGGGGUAGACAAUAGAGUGAAAGGCACCUUUCUUUUCCCCAAUAUCAGGCUUAGGACAGGAAAUCUGGGCUCAGAGGUCUGGCCAUUAACUUCAGGAGUGAUUUAACCACAUAGUUCAACCACAAGUUUUAAGAAAGCCCAACCAAAACACUUAUGUUGGUCUGAGUGUAUUCUUCAUUUGGAAAUUUUGCAGCGUGUUACUUCCCCACCUUUAAGUCCUGUUCUGGCACUAGAUUGCAUAGAUCCCUGCAGUUUGCAUAUCAAGAACACAUUGGAGUGGAUGAUGCUGUCCUCUACAUGCUUCACUGUGCCCUGUCUCAUCUGGAGGAACCUGGGGUUUAUGUGAGGAUCAUGUUCUUUGACUUUUCAAAUGCAUUCAACACCAUCCAACCCAUCAUACUCAAAGACAAGCUCACAGAGAUAGGAGUGAAUCCUUCCUGUGUUUCCUGGAUCACAGAUUACCUGACAGGAAGGCCACAGUUUGUCAGGCUGGGGAACUGUGUUUCUGGGACAUUAAUGAGCAGUGCAGGGGCUCCACAAGGGACAGUGCUGGCGCCAUUCCUGUUCACACUGUAUACGUCAGACUUCAAAUACAGCACUGAGUCCUGCCACAUCCAGAAAUACUCAGAUGACACUGCUAUUGUGGCAUGUAUCAGAAAUGGACAAGAGGCUGAAUACAGAGAUCUGAUAAGAGCCUUCAGUGACUGGAGUCACAAAAACUGCCCCCUGCUCAACACCUCAAAGACAAAGGAGAUGGUCAUAGACUUCUGCAGAUCCAAACCCCCUUUUCAGCCAGUUGCAUGGACAUCGAAGUGGUGACAUUAUAUAAAUAUCGAGGUGUACAUCUGGAUAAUAAGUUGGACUGGUCUAAGAACAUAGACUUCAUCUACAGAAAGGGGCAGAGCCACCUCUUUUGCCUAAGAAGACACCAAUCAAUAGACGUCUGUAGUAAGAUGCUGCAGAUGUUUUAUCAGUCUGUGGUGGCAAGUGUUCUGUUCUACUCUGCAGUCUGCUGGGGAGGAAGUAUCAAACACAAAGAUGCAAGGCGUCCUAACAAACUGGUGAAAAAGGCUGGCUCUGUGGUUGGACUCAAGCUGGACUCAGUGGAGGAUGUGGUUUAGAGAUGUACACUGAGGAAGGUGGAGACUAUUCUAAAGAACAUGGAUCACCCACUUCACAACACCCUGAUGGACCAAAGGGCCAAUGGUGGUGGACGGCUCUUCUCUCUUCGCUGCAGGACAGAAAGAUUCUUCAGAUCUUUUGUACCAACAGCCAUCAGGCUUUAUAAUUCUUUUACAAAUAGUGGAUGACUUUUUUGAGACAUGACAAAUGAGACUACAGAUGAUUAAAUUUCCCUUCAGGGAUAAAUAAAGUUUGUCUUAUUUUUUAGAUUGGG
Xyrichtys novacula (pearly razorfish) is the source of this 1957-nucleotide non-coding RNA. NCBI's taxonomy places the organism in Eukaryota, Metazoa, Chordata, Actinopteri, Labriformes, Labridae. The record is from the annotation of a GenBank genome assembly.